GACGAACGCUGGCGGCGUGCUUAACACAUGCAAGUCGAACGAAGUGGCGAACGGGUGAGUAACGCGUAAUCAACCUGCCCUUCAGAGGGGGAUAACAGUUGGAAACGACUGCUAAUACCGCAUACUGAAGGUGGGGAUUGCGUCGGAUUGGCUAGUUGGAGGGGUAACGGCCAACCAAGGCGAUGAUCAGUAGUCGUUCUGUGAGAAUGAGCGGCCACAUUGGGACCGAGACACGGCCCAGGCUCCUACGGGAGGCAUCAGUGGGGAAUCUUCCGCGAUGGACGAAAGACUGACGGAGAAACGCCGCGUAAGUGAGGACGGCCUUCGGGUUGUAAAGCUCUGUUAAUCGGGACGCGGUACCGGAAUAGAAAGCCACGGCUAACUACGUGCCAGCCGCCGCGGUAAUUC
RNAcentral lists this ribosomal RNA (408 nucleotides) under uncultured bacterium. RNAcentral describes it as "partial 16S ribosomal RNA". It matches the Rfam family "Bacterial small subunit ribosomal RNA", at positions 28 to 526 of the family's 1533-position model. The record is from RNAcentral.